UAAAAUGUUCCCAAAGUCCAACCAUUUCCCAUAAGCACCUACAAGAAAAAACAUCCCGUGUCAACAGAUUUGCACAACAAAUAGGACUGAACAUAAGCCUGAAGAAAACAGAGGUGAUGACCUUAAUCACACAAAAUCUCCCAUCUAUACAAAUAAAUGGAAUAAAUAUACCCACAACAGAAGAGUUUUCAUAUCUGGGAAGCACUGCAAGAAACACAUUCAGAAUGAUGAACAAUGUGUGGAAGUCCACGAAGUAUAGCAUCAACACCAACUCAAGUUAUACAAGAGCUGUGUUCUCUCCACUUUAUUAUACAGCUCUGAAUGCUGGAGGAUGACAGAGAAAGACCUUUCCAAGAUCUCUGCAUUCCACACAAGAAACCUCAGAAUAAUCGUACGUAUCUUCUGGCCUAACACCAUCUCCAACCAGCAAUUACUUGCUCGGACAAACCAAGAAAGUAUCAAACCAUCAUUACAAGAAGGCGGUGGAGAUGGAUUGG
Long non-coding RNA from Gadus macrocephalus (Pacific cod), 497 nucleotides. RefSeq lists it as uncharacterized. The record is from RefSeq and is a predicted model, not a curated record. NCBI's taxonomy places the organism in Eukaryota, Metazoa, Chordata, Actinopteri, Gadiformes, Gadidae. The transcript is spliced from 2 exons.